UGAGUAACACGUGGGUGAUCUGCCCUGCACUUUGGGAUAAGCCUGGGAAACUGGGUCUAAUACCGAAUAGGACCGCAUGCUGCAUGGUGUGUGGUGGAAAGCUUUUGCGGUGUGGGAUGGGCCCGCGGCCUAUCAGCUUGUUGGUGGGGUAAUGGCCUACCAAGGCGACGACGGGUAGCCGGCCUGAGAGGGUGUCCGGCCACACUGGGACUGAGAUACGGCCCAGACUCCUACGGGAGGCAGCAGUGGGGAAUAUUGCACAAUGGGCGCAAGCCUGAUGCAGCGACGCCGCGUGGGGGAUGACGGCCUUCGGGUUGUAAACCUCUUUCAGUAUCGGCGAAGCUCCGGGGUUUUCUCUGGGGUGACGGUAGGUACAGAAGAAGCACCGGCCAACUACGUGCCAGCAGCCGCGGUAAUACGUAGGGUGCGAGCGUUGUCCGGAAUUACUGGGCGUAAAGAGCUCGUAGGUGGUUUGUCACGUUGUCCGUGAAAACUCACAGCUUAACUGUGGGCGUGCGGGCGAUACGGGCAGACUGGAGUACUGUAGGGGAGACUGGAAUUCCUGGUGUAGCGGUGGAAUGCGCAGAUAUCAGGAGGAACACCGGUGGCGAAGGCGGGUCUCUGGGCAGUAACUGACGCUGAGGAGCGAAAGCGUGGGGAGCGAACAGGAUUAGAUACCCUGGUAGUCCACGCCGUAAACGGUGGGUACUAGGUGUGGGUUUCCUUCCUUUAGGGAUCCGUGCCGUAGCUAACGCAUUAAGUACCCCGCCUGGGGAGUACGGCCGCAAGGCUAAAACUCAAAGGAAUUGACGGGGGCCCGCACAA
Molecule: ribosomal RNA, 825 nt
Filed under: Mycobacterium sp.
Lineage: Bacteria; Bacillati; Actinomycetota; Actinomycetes; Mycobacteriales; Mycobacteriaceae
Description: bacterial SSU rRNA
Rfam family: Bacterial small subunit ribosomal RNA
Source: RNAcentral